RNAcentral lists this ribosomal RNA (861 nucleotides) under uncultured Ruminococcus sp. RNAcentral describes it as "bacterial SSU rRNA". It matches the Rfam family "Bacterial small subunit ribosomal RNA", at positions 49 to 906 of the family's 1533-position model. Lineage: Bacteria; Bacillati; Bacillota; Clostridia; Eubacteriales; Oscillospiraceae. The record is from RNAcentral.
CUACCAUGCAAGUCGAGCGAAGCACUUUGCUUAGAUUCUUCGGAUGAAGAGGAUCUGUGACUGAGCGGCGGACGGGUGAGUAACGCGUGGGUAACCUGCCUCGUACAGGGGGAUAACAGUUAGAAAUGACUGCUAAUACCGCAUAAGACCACAGCACCGCAUGGUGCAGGGGUAAAAACUCCGGUGGUAUGAGAUGGACUCGCGUCUGAUUAGCUAGUUGGUAAGGUAACGGCUUACCAAGGCGACGAUCAGUAGCCGACCUGAGAGGGUGACCGGCCACAUUGGGACUGAGACACGGCCCAAACUCCUACGGGAGGCAGCAGUGGGGAAUAUUGCACAAUGGGGGAAACCCUGAUGCAGCGACACCGCGUGAGCGAAGAAGUAUUUCGGUACGUAAAGCUCUAUCAGCAGGGAAGAAAAUGACGGUACCUGACUAAGAAGCACCGGCUAAAUACGUGCCAGCAGCCGCGGUAAUACGUAUGGUGCAAGCGUUAUCCGGAUUUACUGGGUGUAAAGGGAGCGUAGACGGAUGGGCAAGUCUGAUGUGAAAACCCGGGGCUCAACCCCGGGACUGCAUUGGAAACUGUUCAUCUAGAGUGCUGGAGAGGUAAGUGGAAUUCCUAGUGUAGCGGUGAAAUGCGUAGAUAUUAGGAGGAACACCAGUGGCGAAGGCGGCUUACUGGACAGUAACUGACGUUGAGGCUCGAAAGCGUGGGGAGCAAACAGGAUUAGAUACCCUGGUAGUCCACGCCGUAACGAUGACUACUAGGUGUCGGGUGGCAUAGCCAUUCGGGUGCCGCCAGCAAACCGCAAUUAAGUAGUCCACCUGGGGGAGUACGUUCCCAAGAAUGAGACUCAAAG